AAAUAUUUACCUAUCCUUUCACCACCUGAUUCAUAAUGCCCUCAGUGACAUAGCAAUAUAUAACCACAACCUAGGAACAAGAAGGUAAAAGUUCUACAUUGCACGAGUGGUCUUAUAAAACAACACAUUAAAGACAGGCACUUCCCACAAUGUUGGUCUACGUAUAUAUUUCACCCGCAGCACGUUGAUCAGAUGUGGUUUCACACAGAAACUGAACCCUGCAGAAAACUUCCAGCUGUCAUCCUGAAAGCUCUCGUGUCACGAACAGCAUGAACGUCUCACAAGGCACCUGGUUGUUCAGACCUUAAAGAACUGACAAAUGUGGGACAGUCAGGAGUCUUCUUACUCAUGUUGAAUUUCACCUGGCAGAGGGAUAAAGCGGGAUUUGUUCAAAAGAAGACUAUGACUCCGUGCAGGUGUUCAGCAGUUCAGUUAAAAAUGUUUCUAGUAAACAGGAAAUAAGCAGUGUGUUCCAACUGGACACUGAACAUCACCAUGGAGGACAAAUGGGUCAUAAUCUCCAGCCUUCUGUUCCCUUUGAAGAUAUCUUCAAGAUAUAUUCUGUUUUAAUACAUAAAAAUGAGGAGGAUUAUACAACUCUGAAAUUUUUUAAAAGUAAUGACUGAAUGAUAAAACAAAAACUUUUCAAUGUCGGCUUACAGUUUGUGCUCAAUGAGACUUUUCUCCAAAUUAAGAGCAAAUAAUAAGACCUAAGUGGAACAUACAGGUUCAAGUUGGGAAGCUGUUAGGUGAUCUGAGUUACUUAGGUUUAUUCUUUAUUAACUGGGUUAAAAUAGGCCCACACAGAUGUGGAAGCAAUGCAGCCAGCACUGCAGAAAUAUAUGACUGUAGACAGAUAAUCCUUGUAUAAAAUCUUUUCUGUGUGUAAAAGGAUACUGCCCAACUCUAAUGGCUAAAUGGGUGACUUACACCUUAGAAAGCUCUGGAGAAAUGUCACCUCCAGGGGCUGAUGAAUGCCCAUAUGGAAAGAGAGCAAAUGGAAAAUCUGGACAAAUGUUUCAGCCAGAAUAACAUAAGAUUUUAAAGGUAUGUUCAGUUUGUCUGAUUUCAGCCAUAUAAGCAGUGCUUUUACUUUCUCAGAUUUCAUCAUAAUGAGAGAAAUGUCUGAAUAAGAGAGGAAAGCAGAUUAGUGUCUUGGGAAAGCUCAUGAAACAGGGGAAGCCAGGAAAACUUGAUAAUGUGGUUAGAGCUAAUAAAAAGGACAUGAAGAAACUGAUAAGCCUAGAAUAUUGUCUUGACACAGCAUUAGGAAUGGCCUUAGAGAUUUAGAGAAAAUUACAUGGGAGGGAUCUUCUGUAGUCAAAGCAGGAUGUAAGGCCCUGGGAGACAAGGGAGAAGAUUGAGGGCAAUGGACUAAAUGAAAACAGAAUGAAAGAAGAAAUGGAUUCCCUAUUCAUAGCUGAAUAAGCCAAAAACAUUGCUUGUGAUAUGGGAGUGGGCAAAGAUAAUAACAACGGUUGAGAAGAAUGACAGGAGCAAGAUGAAAAAGGAAAUAAAACAAUGCGACUAGAACAGAGGCUAAAUCAGAGACACUUAUGCACAGAGAAACAACAAGAUAACAGUUGGGUCUCUGAACUGAUUUUAUUUACCAAGGGGAACGCAGGAGCACAGGCUGAAAAUACAGAAUCUAACUGUAGGAGAAAAGGUAAGCCUGUCAUGCAAGCUGGGGAGAGGUAGCCAAAUGUACACUAAGGAAGGACUGAGUCAUGAAAGCCAAAGGAAAAAAAAAAAA
Molecule: long non-coding RNA, 1753 nt
Organism: Meleagris gallopavo (turkey)
Lineage: Eukaryota; Metazoa; Chordata; Aves; Galliformes; Phasianidae
Source: RefSeq, a predicted model, not a curated record